This 777-nucleotide ribosomal RNA is filed under the name uncultured Neocallimastigales. RNAcentral's name for it is "partial large subunit ribosomal RNA". It matches the Rfam family "Eukaryotic large subunit ribosomal RNA", at positions 23 to 646 of the family's 3401-position model. Lineage: Eukaryota; Fungi; Neocallimastigomycota; Neocallimastigomycetes; Neocallimastigales. The record is from RNAcentral.
AGAGAGAGACAUGCGCGCAUAUCAAUAAGCGGAGGAAAAGAAACUAACAUAGGAUUCCCCUCAGUAACGGCGAGUGAAGCGGGAAGAGCUCAAAUUUGAAAUCUUAAAGGGUUUCCCUUUACGAAUUGUAGUUUAAAGAAGUGUUUUCUGUUGAGGUUUCGGUAAAAGUUCUUUGGAAUAGGACAUCAUAGAGGGUGAGAAUCCCGUAUUUGACCUUUACUUUCAACUUUGUGAUACACUUUCAAAGAGUCGGAUUGUUUGGGAAUGCAGUCCAAAAUGGGUGGUAAAUUUCAUCUAAAGCUAAAUACUUAGCGAGAGACCGAUAGCGAACAAGUACCGUGAGGGAAAGAUGAAAAGAACUUUGAAAAGAGAGUUAAACAGUACGUGAAAUUGUCAAAAGGGAAGCGUUUGACACCAGUGUUGUUUUUCUGAAAAUCAAUUAAAGAACUGUUUAUGCUAAGUUGUUUAGACUUUAUCAGCUAUCUGUUUAGUUUUGAGCUUUUCUUUAAUGCACUUUUCAGUUAACAAGUCAACAUCAAUUUCUUUUGCUGUAAAAAAGCUUGAGGAAGGUGGCUUGAGAUUCGUCUUAAGUGUUUAUAGCCUCUUGCCUAUGCAGUCGGAGAGAUUGAGGUCUGCAGCGUAGAUCCUUCGGGGCUAAAUGCAUUUGUGCUAAGUUAUAGCAUUUUAUAGACAACUUGUUGACUAUGAUUUGUCUUGUAGCUUACUCGCUUAUGCUAUUUUACCUACGCUUAGGAUGUUGAUGUGAUACUGCGAGCA